CAUCUAAGUUCAGAAUUAAGACAAGCAAAAUGAGUGGCUUGAUGGAGCUUGUAAUUCUUGUCCCAUGUUGUUUCUUCCUCGUAGCUUUAAUAAAGUUCCUUUAUGAUUACCUGUGGGUACCUCUCCGUAUACAGCAUCUGAUGAAUUCACAGGGAAUCAAAGGACCUCCUUACAAAUUCAUCCAUGGAAACAAUGAAGAAGCUACCAAGAUGAGACAAGAAGCAUUAAGCAAACCUAUGGCCUUGAAGCAUGAUAUAUUUCCUAGAGUGCAGCCACAUGUUUACACCUGGAUCAACAGAUAUGGUAAGAUCCAUGCAUAUUUUUCACUAUAGUGUUCCAAUAUAGUAGUAAAUGAAAAUUUGUAAGUAAUUAAAAGUUGACUUGGUUACUAAUAAAAGUUGUUUAUUCAAAAGUGAUGCAGUUACUUGAUUAUUAAUAAAAAAAAUUAGGAUUAUUUUAGUAAUAAAUAAUGAACAAUUGUAUUUAUUUUUAACAAAUAAACAUCUAUUAAAUAGUUAUAUUUUUAUAAGUAGACAUUAGAAUUCGUAUAGAUAAGAGAGAAAUUUCAUUUUUAUAUGCUAAAAACCCAAAAACAAAGAAUUUAUCCAUUCUCCUUCAUCUUCAAAUAUUCAAAGGUUGUUUUAUCAAGAACUAUUGCAGAAGUUUUUAUAGAAUAUGAUACUUUUCCUAAUGUUCAGUGUACUAUUUUCAUUAAUAUAAAAAAGUGGCGUUGGUUAAUUUUUAUAAGUUUAUUUGUAUUCUUACCCACCAGUUCUAUUAAAUAGUUAUAACAAAAUUGACCCGUCAAAAGUCUUUGCUUCAUUCUCGUUACACGACAAUGAGCAAAGAGGGUCUUUGCUUCAUUCUCGUUACACGACAAUGAGCAAAGAGGAGCAGCUGUAACAGGUCAAUUUUGACCUAGGCCUAAAGACCCAAAACAAAUGAAAAUAACCCAAAAAUUACAGCCCAAAGCCCAGUAAAUUAAAAUUUGUUUCAGCAAAAAAACCUAGCCCUAGCCGCAUGCACACCUCUGCCAGGUGCGCCGCUCCAGCUCCUCACACGCCGCCGCCGCCCAAGACUCGCCUACCACCGGUCGUCCACGCGUCUGACACCUGCGAAAAUUAAAUAUAAUGGCAAAAAGGAAGCACGCGAGCAAUAAUAAUAGUUAACAGAUAAUAAAGAAGAAGAAAUCAUUUUGAUUCGGGUAUAAAAGCCCGAAUCUCACCGUUGUUUUUUUUUACGAACACACAUCAGUGAAUCAAGAAAUACAGAACUGAGAUUCUAAAAGGUUGAUAGAAAUCUGAUUAUUUUCUUUAGUUUUUUCUGAUUUCCGUUUCUUAUCAUCUAUCAUUUAUUUAUUUCAUUUAUUUAUCUACGCAUUUUUUACGAAAUUUUUACAAAGAAAACGUGAAAAUAAAAAGGGAAGAGGGGACUUACCGAGGAAGCGCCGGGAUCCAGCUCACGGAGGGUUCUCCUCCUUUGCGACCGCCGGAUCUAGAGGGUGCUGAGAAUCUUCCUCUUUUCUUUUUUAAGGUUGAAGGGUUCAGCCCUCGGGGUAUUCUAAGGCCGAGGUCUUUGACCUCUUUUCCUCCGUCGUCGGCCACCGGUCUUCAUGGCUGCGGCGGCGGUGCACUGGAGGCUAAGAAACCCAAGGGUCGGUGUUUGAAAAAAAGGGAAUGAUUUUGAAACUAAAAAAGGAAAAAGAAAACAGAGGCAAGAAUGAGAAUUUU
RNAcentral lists this long non-coding RNA (1730 nucleotides) under Gossypium barbadense (sea-island cotton). RNAcentral describes it as "long non-coding RNA (GBAR_LNC013900)". The record is from RNAcentral. Lineage: Eukaryota; Viridiplantae; Streptophyta; Magnoliopsida; Malvales; Malvaceae.